Molecule: ribosomal RNA, 448 nt
Filed under: uncultured bacterium
Lineage: Bacteria
Description: bacterial SSU rRNA
Rfam family: Bacterial small subunit ribosomal RNA
Source: RNAcentral
UCCCAGACUCCUACGGGAGGCAGCAGUGGGGAAUAUUGCACAAUGGGGGGAACCCUGAUGCAGCGACGCCGCGUGAGUGAAGAAGUAUUUCGGUAUGUAAAGCUCUAUCAGCAGGGAAGAAAAUGACGGUACCUGACUAAGAAGCCUCGGCUAACUACGUGCCAGCAGCCGCGGUAAUACGUAGGAGGCAAGCGUUAUCCGGAAUGACUGGGCGUAAAGGGUGCGUAGGUGGUUUGACAAGUUGGUAGCGCAACUCCGGGGCUCAACCUCGGCACUACUACCAAAACUGUUGAACUUGAGUGCAGGAGGGGCAAAUGGAAUUCCUAGUGUAGCGGUGGAAUGCGUAGAUAUUAGGAGGAACACCAGUGGCGAAGGCGAUUUGCUGGACUGUAACUGACACUGAGGCACGAAAGCGUGGGGAGCAAACAGGAUUAGAUACCCCAGUACC